RNAcentral lists this ribosomal RNA (408 nucleotides) under uncultured bacterium. RNAcentral's name for it is "bacterial SSU rRNA". It matches the Rfam family "Bacterial small subunit ribosomal RNA", at positions 93 to 497 of the family's 1533-position model. The record is from RNAcentral.
GACCGGCGCACGGGUGGAGUAACACGUAUCCCAACCUUCCGUUUACUCAGGGAUAGCCUUUCGAAAGAAAGAUUAAUACCUGAUAGUAUGGUGAGAUUGCAUGAUAGCACCAUUAAAGAUUUAUUGGUAAACGAUGGGGAUGUGUUCCAUUAGGUAGUAGGCGGGGUAACGGCCCACCUAGCCGACGAUGGAUAGGGGUUCUGAGAGGAAGGUCCCCCACAUUGGAACUGAGACACGGUCCAAACUCCUACGGGAGGCAGCAGUGAGGAAUAUUGGUCAAUGGGCGAGAGCCUGAACCAGCCAAGUAGCGUGAAGGAUGAAGGUCCUACGGAUUGUAAACUUCUUUUAUACGGGAAUAAAGUAUCCUACGUGUAGGAUUUUGUAUGUACCGUAUGAAUAAGCAUCGGC